GGUUCCGCUUGUCGUUGGCGGCAGGGAGCUCGGGGCCGCUGCGAUGUCUGGUAGUCAGAGCGGCCGCUGUAUGAGGCGGUUGGAAGAGGCCCGGAGCCCGGCCAGUUCCCACAAUAAUCAGUCGGGAAAGUUUUUUUUGGGGAGCACAGACCUAGACCUUUGGGACUUGGUUGAAAUGGGGGCCGGUGAUCUGGGCUUUCCGGACUUGAACGAUGUCCCAUUGUUUCCGCUCUCGCCUGAAGAUAACCGCCCUUUGGGAUCCAGUGGGAAUGAGACGGUCCCCAGCUCGGGGGCCUCGGAUGUGGCAACUCCCGGUCCCCGACAGCAGCCAUCCCGCUACAGUUUACCUGUGAGGAACAGGAACGCUGCGGCGACGGCGGCUCGCUUAAACCGGCUGAAGAAGAAAGAGUAUGUGACGGGCCUGGAGCUGCGCGCCAGCGGCCUGCAGGCCGAGAACCAAGAGCUUCGGGCCGAGAACCAGAGAUUGAGCCGGAGGCUGGACGAGCUGCAGGGAGAGGCCCGCUACCUGAGAGCUGUGCUCGCCAACCAGAGCAGCUUGGCGCGGCUGUUGAACAGGCUGAGCGGCCUGGACGGUAUGAAACUGAGCUCGUCCCUCUGCAGAGACACCGAAGGACAGGACCACGACUACGCGAUUCCCGGGAAACGGCUGAAAUCCGAAGAGGAGGAAGGAACCGCGGGAGGAGUUUGUCUGCAUGUGGAUCAGAGCCACGUCUCGAUUGAAUUCUGUUCCAGGUGUGCACAAAGUGCAUCUUCAUCGCUCAAAAUUUUCUUUUCUAGGUGUUUCCCUGCCAUACUGGAUGGUUGGGUUUGAAAUGGACUAACAUAACAUCUUCACAAUGUGUGAAUACUUCUCUGGAAGUUGAAGAGUGAUGGAACCAGCUGUUGGCCUCAUUCCUCCUUUAUAUUAAAGUGCUUCAAGAGGACGUUCAUUGGUACAGUAUACAGUAUUGCAAUGUGGGUGGAAGUUUUACAUACAUUACCCUUUCAGUGAAAUGUUCACUUGCUGAAGUCUGGUAUCUUUAUAGGAAAAUAACUUAGUAAAUUGUUACCCAGUUUGCAUCACACGAGUUGAUAACCUGUUCCACGGGUCUAGUAUUCUCUGUGGAAAAGAACUAGCUAACAUACAACUUGCUCUAUGUAACCUGUAAGCAUACAAUGUGGGACCGAAGUCGUAUGAGGUCAGACUGGGUAGGGGUGGCAUAUUCCUUAUCCUUCCCUGAUGGACUAUAAUGAACAACUUGGAUUUUUAUGAUGAUCUGGGAGCUUUCACAGUAUUUAGCAGAUUUACUGAAUUCAAGUUUGCAUGAGGUUUCUAGAUUGCUUAUCUUAUACCAUGACUAGUGGGCUCCCAUUGUUAUUGUCUUGAUUUUUUUCCAACCUUUAUAGGCGGCAGAUUUUUAUCCAACUAAAAUAGCUAUCUAAAUAAAACAGGAACACUUGUGAAUGUGAAAUUGCAGCUUAUGCUCUGAAAGAGAAAUAUCCUUUGCAAUCCAAUCUGACUGUAUGGAGUUUUGAGCUAUUAGUAAAUCUCUAUCAAUGGAAGAGAUCUUUUUAGAGAUGUAUUAGUGUAAUCAUAUAAUCAUCCUGGCAAGUUUAUCCUUAAUUACUUUAAUAACUUAAAUGAUCAAAACUAGCAUGGUAAUUUGAACUUAAAUGCUGUUUAAUAUUAUGUAUUUAUAUUCUCAUUUUUUUAAAAAUUGCAGAAUACCUAGAAAACAUCAAUAGUUUCAGCUUAUGAUGCUUAAUAAUUGGUCCAAUAUCCAGAAUUGUCUGUUUGUUUGAAGGGCAUUUUAUACCACUGUUAGUUUGCAUGUU
RNA transcript from Carcharodon carcharias (great white shark), 1836 nucleotides. It is a transcript of the gene named CREB/ATF bZIP transcription factor, with no coding region annotated. The record is from RefSeq and is a predicted model, not a curated record. The transcript has 4 exons. NCBI's taxonomy places the organism in Eukaryota, Metazoa, Chordata, Chondrichthyes, Lamniformes, Lamnidae.